UAUUUCUUGUAGGUUUUGAAUCCUCGACUUGAGAAACAACUAUUUCAAUGAGAGCAUUCUAGCGUCCUUGAGUGAACUUUCAGCACUCAAGUGUUUAAAUCUAGCAGAAAAUUAGGUCACGGUAACAAAUUCUAUUGGUGGUAUAAAGAUGUUAUCAAAACUGAAGAAUUUGAAGACUCUGAAUUAGGAAACAACAUCCUAUCACAACUAGAUGGUUUUACCUCUUUAAAUCAUUGCGUUUACAGGGUUAUGGUCGAGACUUAAAGGAACCAUUGAUAUGUUAGAAGUUAGUAAUUUGAGAAACUUGGAGGAGUUGCAUGUAGGGGAGAAUGAAAUCGAGAGUCUCGGGUCUCGAUUUCAUGGUAACUCGUCUGACUUUAUUAAUAGCUCAUUGUGCACAAAAGGACUGUCGAAGUUGAACAAACUUGAGGUGCUUGGUUUAAGUGGUGAUCUCUUUAACACAACAUAUUUGCAUCCCUUGCUGCGUUUCUCAAAAUUGAAUUCUUUGCAUUUAAACGACAACAAAUUGAAGGGGUCGAUUCAUAUGAAAGGUAAAAAAUAACUUGUAC
Long non-coding RNA from Hibiscus syriacus, 569 nucleotides. RefSeq lists it as uncharacterized. The record is from RefSeq and is a predicted model, not a curated record. The transcript has 3 exons. Lineage: Eukaryota; Viridiplantae; Streptophyta; Magnoliopsida; Malvales; Malvaceae.